This 157-nucleotide ribosomal RNA is filed under the name uncultured bacterium. Its description in RNAcentral is "partial 16S ribosomal RNA". It matches the Rfam family "Bacterial small subunit ribosomal RNA", at positions 355 to 508 of the family's 1533-position model. The record is from RNAcentral.
UAAGGAAUAUUGGACAAUGGUCGCAAGACUGAUCCAGCCAUGCCGCGUGAAGGAUGACGGCCCUAUGGGUUGUAAACUUCUUUUGUAUGGGAAAAAACCUCUCUACGUGUAGAGAGCUGAUGGUUCCAUAAGAAUAAGGAUGGGCUAACUUCCGUGC